AUGGCAGUGGAAGGAGUCGCGGGGUUGCUGAAGGGCCUGAAACUUUCGGAGGAAGAGAGGAAGGGUGUCAAGGUGCGGCUGUCAUCUAGGGUGAGUGGAAAGGAGUCGAUGGUGCAGGCGGUGGGUAAGGUCAUGUCCGAGAAGUUAGCGCACCCAGAUGCGAUCUGCCUCUCUCUAGGCAGGGUUUGGUGCCCGAUCAAGGGGAUUGACUGCAAGGAGAUUGGAGCGAAUCAGUUCCUUAUCACGUUUCAUCAGGAGUCGGGUAAGCGGAAGGCGAUUGAGGAUGGACCAUGGAUGUUUGACAAAGAAGUUAUGGUGGUGGAGGACUACGUGCCAAGUAAGAGGCCAGAGGAUUAUGCCCACAACAAUAUCCCUAUUUGGGUUAGGGUUUAUAACCUUCCCCUUGGCAUGAUGAAUGAGGAAUUAGCAGAG
This 432-nucleotide ribosomal RNA is filed under the name Triticum aestivum (bread wheat). RNAcentral describes it as "partial small subunit ribosomal RNA". Lineage: Eukaryota; Viridiplantae; Streptophyta; Magnoliopsida; Poales; Poaceae. The record is from RNAcentral.